ACCCGCUGAACUUAAGCAUAUCAAUAAGCGGAGGAAAAGAAACUAACAAGGAUUCCCCUAGUAACGGCGAGUGAAGCGGGAAGAGCUCAAAUUUGAAAUCUGGUGGCCUCAGGUCAUCCGAGUUGUAAUCUAUAGAAGUGUUUUCCGUGCUGGCUCAUGUACAAGUCCCUUGGAACAGGGCGUCAUAGAGGGUGAGAAUCCCGUCCUUGACAUGAACUACCAGUGCUCUGUGAUACAUUUUCAACGAGUCGAGUUGUUUGGGAAUGCAGCUCAAAAUGGGUGGUAAAUUCCAUCUAAAGCUAAAUAUUGGCGAGAGACCGAUAGCGAACAAGUACCGUGAGGGAAAGAUGAAAAGCACUUUGGAAAGAGAGUUAAACAGUAUGUGAAAUUGUUGAAAGGGAAACGAUUGAAGUCAGUCGUGCUCUUUGGAUUCAGCCGGUUCUGCCGGUGUACUUCCUUUGAGUGGGGUCAACAUCAGUUUUGAUCGCUGGAUAAAGGCAGGAGGAACGUAGUACCCUCGGGUAAACUUAUAGCCUCUUGUCACAUACAGCGGUUGGGACUGAGGAACGCAGCACGCCUUUAUGGCCGGGAUUCGUCCACGUACGUGCUUAGGAUGUUGACAUAAUGGCUUU
This 632-nucleotide ribosomal RNA is filed under the name uncultured fungus. RNAcentral's name for it is "eukaryotic LSU rRNA". It matches the Rfam family "Eukaryotic large subunit ribosomal RNA", at positions 23 to 641 of the family's 3401-position model. Lineage: Eukaryota; Fungi. The record is from RNAcentral.